Molecule: ribosomal RNA, 536 nt
Filed under: uncultured bacterium
Lineage: Bacteria
Description: bacterial SSU rRNA
Rfam family: Bacterial small subunit ribosomal RNA
Source: RNAcentral
GAUGAACGCUGGCGGCAUGCCUAAGACAUGCAAGUCGUACGAGGUGGCCUUCUGAAGUUUGAGUGCUUGCACAAAGAUGAACGAAGAUUUUCCACCUAGUGGCGGACGGGUGAGUAACACGUGGGUAAUCUACCUUCGAGUCUGGAAUAACAGUUGGAAACGACUGCUAAUACCGGAUUAUAUAACAAUGGUAAGUGUUGUUAUUAAAAGAGGCCUUUAAAGCCUUGCUUGAAGAUGAGCCUGCGGACGAUUAGAUUGUUGGUGGGGUAAUGGCCUACCAAGUCGACGAUCGUUAGCCGAACUGAGAGGUUGAUCGGCCACACUGGGACUGAGACACGGCCCAGACUCCUACGGGAGACAGCAGUUAGGAAUAUUCGUCAAUGGGGGAAACCCUGAACGAGCAAUGCCGCGUGAAUGAUGACGGCCUUAUGGGUUGUAAAAUUCUGUGGAUAGGGAAGAACAUCUGGAAUAGGAAAUGAUUCCAGCCUGACGGUACCUAUCUAGAAAGCUCCGGCUAACUACGUGCCAGCCGCCGC